AUUGAACGCUGGCGGCAUGCUUUACACAUGCAAGUCGAACGGCAGCGGGGAGGAGCUUGCUUCUCUGCCGGCGAGUGGCGCACGGGUGAGUAAUACAUCGGAACGUGUCGAGAAGAGGGGGAUAACCACCCGAAAGGGUGGCUAAUACCGCAUAAAUUCCGAGGAAGAAAGCUGGGGACCUAGGAAUAGGCCUAGCGCUUUUUGAGCGGCCGAUGUCGGAUUAGCUAGUUGGUGAGGUAAAGGCUCACCAAGGCGAAGAUCUGUAGCGGGUCUGAGAGGAUGAUCCGCCACACUGGGACUGAGACACGGCCCAGACUCCUACGGGAGGCAGCAGGGGGGAAUUUUGGACAAUGGGGGCAACCCUGAGCCAGCCAUGCCGCGUGGAUGAAGAAGGCCUUAGGGUUGUAAAGUACGUUUGUUAGGGAAGAAAAGUCAGCUGUGAAUAAUGGCUGAUACUGACGGUACCUAAAGAAUAAGCACCGGCUAACUACGUG
This 494-nucleotide ribosomal RNA is filed under the name uncultured bacterium. Its description in RNAcentral is "partial 16S ribosomal RNA". It matches the Rfam family "Bacterial small subunit ribosomal RNA", at positions 30 to 507 of the family's 1533-position model. The record is from RNAcentral.